This is a long non-coding RNA of Dendronephthya gigantea, 1341 nucleotides long. RefSeq lists it as uncharacterized. Lineage: Eukaryota; Metazoa; Cnidaria; Anthozoa; Malacalcyonacea; Nephtheidae. The transcript is spliced from 3 exons. The record is from RefSeq and is a predicted model, not a curated record.
CGUCCUAAAUUAAACUACAACCGAAAUAUUCUGAGCGAUUUUCAGAUUUUCUAGCCUUAAAAACACCAUAUUCCUACUAGAAGACUAACUCAAGGAAAAGAUGUUCGUAUACCCCUUGGCCAUCAGAGAAUCAGGAAGUGGGUUGUCUUUACAGUCAAACCGGAUAUUCUGUUCCCCGCAAUGUUGCAACAUUGCCAACAAUAUUGCAAAUUUCAUUGCAACUGGAAAUUGCAAGUUCCCUCGCAAGUGUAAAUAAAUACAUUUAAUUCAAUAUUUUGCGUCAACGCCCCCACCGCAGCCCGGUAUGUUCCGGACCUGGUACGAGAUCCACCGGGCAGAUCCUAGUUCAGGACAGGGGCUGAAAGGGGCGCCAAUUUGGUAACCAAAGGCAAAAGCGAAGAAUUUUCAUUGCGUAUAAACUUACGCAGCGAGCUCGUCAAUGAGUGAAAAAGAGCCAGGUUUUUUUUUGCAAGACCGAUGACCAUCUACGAGGCCAAGUCAAUUGCGGAAGAUAACAUUUCACUUAACAACAUUCUUAUCCCCAGAGUCGUUUUCCUUACCCCGUAUCUCGUGAGGAGAACACAGACUCAUAGUUGCGUGCUUUCAAUAGGGGAAACAUUUAACAGGCGGAGUUGAUGCAGAACAUAGAGACCUCACAAAAAAUUCCACCUCAUAAUAUAUAGCAAAUAUAGAACACUGUAAAAUAUUCCAAAAUCCAAAUCUGGUGCAUAUAAAACAAACCCUAAAUGCGUAUACUUCUAAACAAUCAGCAGAAGCUGAGAUAGGGAGAUAAUAUUAAUAUCGCAUGUACUACAGAGAACCUUCUGGUGCAUGUACCACUGAGAACCUUCUGGUGCAUGUACCACUGAGAACCUUCUGGUGCAUGUACCACUGAGAACCUUCUGGUGCAUGUACCACUGAGAACCUUCUGGUGCAUGUACCACUGAGAACCUUCUGGUGCAUGUACCACUGAGAACCUUCUGGUGCAUGUACCACAGAGAACCUUCUGGUGCAUGUACCACUGAGAACCUUCUGGUGCAUGUACCACUGAGAACCUUCUGGUGCAUGUACCACAGAGAACCUUCUGGUGCAUGUACCACUGAGAACCUUCUGGUGCAUGUACCACUGAGAACCUUCUGGUGCAUGUACCACUGAGAUCAAUGUGUACUCCUAUACAUUGUUCCUAGUCAAGGGCGAGUGAACAUUAUGAAAUGCCAAAAGCCUGCUUUGCAUGGAGAGGAAAACUUAAUCCACAUAUUUCUUGAUAUUAAAAAUCUCUAAGAAACUCAAAAAAGCGAAUCCGCUGUAAAAAUAUAAGACUAUAGACACGUCUGUUACAAA